ACCUGGGUGGCUCAGUUGGUUGAGCAUCUGACUUCAGCUCAGGUCAUGAUCUCAUAGUUUGUGAGUUCAAGCCUCACUUCAGGCU
Molecule: transfer RNA, 85 nt
Filed under: Felis catus (domestic cat)
Lineage: Eukaryota; Metazoa; Chordata; Mammalia; Carnivora; Felidae
Also listed under: 2 other names
Rfam family: tRNA
About the family: Transfer RNA (tRNA) molecules are approximately 80 nucleotides in length. Their secondary structure includes four short double-helical elements and three loops (D, anti-codon, and T loops).
Source: Rfam by way of RNAcentral